GACGAACGCUGGCGGCGUGCCUAAUACAUGCAAGUCGAGCGGACUUGAGGGAGCUUGCUCCCGAUGGUCAGCGGCGGACGGGUGAGUAACACGUGGGCAACCUGCCUGUAAGACUGGGAUAACUCCGGGAAACCGGGGCUAAUACCGGAUAAUUCAUUCCCUCACAUGAGGGAAUGCUGAAAGACGGCUUCUCGCUGUCACUUACAGAUGGGCCCGCGGCGCAUUAGCUAGUUGGUGAGGUAACGGCUCACCAAGGCCACGAUGCGUAGCCGACCUGAGAGGGUGAUCGGCCACACUGGGACUGAGACACGGCCCAGACUCCUACGGGAGGCAGCAGUAGGGAAUCUUCCGCAAUGGACGAAAGUCUGACGGAGCAACGCCGCGUGAGCGAAGAAGGCCUUCGGGUCGUAAAGCUCUGUUGUCAGGGAAGAACAAGUACCGGAGUAACUGCCGGUACCUUGACGGUACCUGACCAGAAAGCCACGGCUAACUACGUGCCAGCAGCCGCGGUAAUACGUAGGUGGCAAGCGUUGUCCGGAAUUAUUGGGCGUAAAGCGCGCGCAGGCGGUCCUUUAAGUCUGAUGUGAAAGCCCACGGCUCAACCGUGGAGGGUCAUUGGAAACUGGGGGACUUGAGUGCAGAAGAGGAGAGCGGAAUUCCACGUGUAGCGGUGAAAUGCGUAGAGAUGUGGAGGAACACCAGUGGCGAAGGCGGCUCUCUGGUCUGUAACUGACGCUGAGGCGCGAAAGCGUGGGGAGCGAACAGGAUUAGAUACCCUGGUAGUCCACGCCGUAAACGAUGAGUGCUAAGUGUUAGAGGGUUUCCGCCCUUUAGUGCUGCAGCAAACGCAUUAAGCACUCCGCCUGGG
RNAcentral lists this ribosomal RNA (868 nucleotides) under Mesobacillus campisalis. RNAcentral's name for it is "bacterial SSU rRNA". It matches the Rfam family "Bacterial small subunit ribosomal RNA", at positions 28 to 877 of the family's 1533-position model. The record is from RNAcentral. Lineage: Bacteria; Bacillati; Bacillota; Bacilli; Caryophanales; Bacillaceae.